GUGGGGAAUAUUGGACAAUGGGCGAAAGCCUGAUCCAGCCAUGCCGCGUGUGUGAAGAAGGUCUUCGGAUUGUAAAGCACUUUAAGUUGGGAGGAAGGGCAGUAAGUUAAUACCUUGCUGUUUUGACGUUACCGACAGAAUAAGCACCGGCUAACUUCGUGCCAGCAGCCGCGGUAAUACGAAGGGUGCAAGCGUUAAUCGGAAUUACUGGGCGUAAAGCGCGCGUAGGUGGUUCGUUAAGUUGGAUGUGAAAGCCCCGGGCUCAACCUGGGAACUGCAUCCAAGACUGGCGAGCUAGAGUACGGUAGAGGGUGGUGGAAUUUCCUGUGUAGCGGUGAAAUGCGUAGAUAUAGGAAGGAACACCAGUGGCGAAGGCGACCACCUGGACUGAUACUGACACUGAGGUGCGAAAGCGUGGGGAGCAAACAGGAUUAGAAACCCGAGUAGUCC
Molecule: ribosomal RNA, 450 nt
Filed under: uncultured bacterium
Lineage: Bacteria
Description: partial 16S ribosomal RNA
Rfam family: Bacterial small subunit ribosomal RNA
Source: RNAcentral